Molecule: long non-coding RNA, 589 nt
Organism: Hyla sarda
Lineage: Eukaryota; Metazoa; Chordata; Amphibia; Anura; Hylidae
Exons: 5
Source: RefSeq, a predicted model, not a curated record
GCUAUGGGCAACUGGGCAAGUUUUCCUCUGCACAGAGUUGAACUGUAGAAAGGGAUUUUUUACGCACUUUCAACCUCUGGAGCACCCUCAGGGAGAGCCCACGCAGACACACAGUAUCAAGCACUCUCCUCUACAAUAUCCAUACAGAUACAGUAAUACAGCUCCCUAACAGGAAUAUCACCCCCUCAGUUUACUAUAUCAGCCAUUCGGACACCUGAACUUGCAUAUCCCUACCAAUAUCGCUUGCACCGGCGCGACUGAUCCUCUACAGUCAUCGGAAGAGCACUCCCUUACACCACUUACAGUUCCAUCUGUAUUACCAGGACCUCUCCCUCUUCCUACUGCAUAUACAGGUUGCCUUGGGACUACUCUACUUGAUAUUUGUUCCUGCCUACUAUUGCUGUGAACAUCCUGCCAUGCAUCCUGCCUACUGCUUGAGUGUUUUUUUUACCAUAUUUAGUAACUCUUUUAGUAUAUGUAUUUAAUAUACUUCUCUUCCACCUUAGGGCUUUUUACAAGAUAUAUAUUUUUUUUGUAUGCUUUUUUGGCCAGUGAAGAUUUUGUAAUUUGAACAUGUCACUUUAUUAAA